UGGGGAAUAUUGCACAAUGGACGGAAGUCUGAUGCAGCAACGCCGCGUGCGGGAUGACGGCCUUCGGGUUGUAAACCGCUUUUUCUCAUGACGAAGUUUUUUGACGGUAGUGGGGGAAGAAGCACCGGCUAACUACGUGCCAGCAGCCGCGGUGAUACGUAGGGUGCGAGCGUUGUCCGGAAUUAUUGGGCGUAAAGAGCUUGUAGGCGGUUUGUCGCGUCGAUAGUACAAACUCAGUGCUUAACGCUGAGCCUGCUGUUGAUACGGGCAGACUAGAGGAAGGUAGGGGAGAAUGGAAUUCCCGGUGGAGCGGUGGAAUGCGCAGAUAUCGGGAGGAACACCGGUGGCGAAGGCGGUUCUCUGGGCCUUUCCUGACGCUGAGAAGCGAAAGCGUGGGGAGCGAACAGG
This 408-nucleotide ribosomal RNA is filed under the name Fusobacteriota bacterium. RNAcentral describes it as "Fusobacteria bacterium partial 16S ribosomal RNA". It matches the Rfam family "Bacterial small subunit ribosomal RNA", at positions 355 to 776 of the family's 1533-position model. Lineage: Bacteria; Fusobacteriati; Fusobacteriota. The record is from RNAcentral.